Molecule: ribosomal RNA, 253 nt
Filed under: uncultured bacterium
Lineage: Bacteria
Description: partial 16S ribosomal RNA
Rfam family: Bacterial small subunit ribosomal RNA
Source: RNAcentral
CGUAGGUGGCAAGCGUUGUCCGGAAUUAUUGGGCGUAAAGCGCGCGCAGGUGGUUAAUAAGUCUGAUGUGAAAGCCCACGGCUCAACCGUGGAGGGUCAUUGGAAACUGUUAAACUUGAGUGCAGGAGAGAAAAGUGGAAUUCCUAGUGUAGCGGUGAAAUGCGUAGAGAUUAGGAGGAACACCAGUGGCGAAGGCGGCUUUUUGGCCUGUAACUGACACUGAGGCGCGAAAGCGUGGGGAGCAAACAGGAUU